AUUGAACGCUGGCGGCAUGCCUUACACAUGCAAGUCGAACGGUAACAGGUCUUCGGAUGCUGACGAGUGGCGAACGGGUGAGUAAUACAUCGGAACGUGCCUAGUAGUGGGGGAUAACUACUCGAAAGAGUGGCUAAUACCGCAUGAGAUCUACGGAUGAAAGCAGGGGAUCGCAAGACCUUGUGCUACUAGAGCGGCCGAUGGCAGAUUAGGUAGGUGGAGGGAUAAAAGCUUACCAAGCCGACGAUCUGUAGCUGGUCUUAGAGGACGAUCACACACACUGGGGCUGAGACACGGCCCAGACUCCUACGGGAGGCAGCAGUGGGGAAUUUUGGUCAAUGGGCGCAAGCCUGAUCCAGCACUGCCGCGUGCAGGAUGAAGGCCUUCGGGUUGUCAACUGCUUUUGUACGGAACGAAAAGCCCCGGGUUAAUACCCUGGGGUCAUGACGGUACCGUAAGAAUAAGCACCGGCUAACUACGUGCCAGCCGCCGCCGUAA
RNAcentral lists this ribosomal RNA (498 nucleotides) under uncultured bacterium. RNAcentral's name for it is "partial 16S ribosomal RNA". It matches the Rfam family "Bacterial small subunit ribosomal RNA", at positions 30 to 523 of the family's 1533-position model. The record is from RNAcentral.